GAUGAACACUAGCUACAGGCUUAACACAUGCAAGUCGAGGGGCAGCAUGGUCUUAGCUUGCUAAGGCCGAUGGCGACCGGCGCACGGGUGAGUAACACGUAUCCAACCUGCCGUCUACUCUUGGACAGCCUUCUGAAAGGAAGAUUAAUACAAGAUGGCAUCAUGAGUCCGCAUGUUCACAUGAUUAAAGGUAUUCCGGUAGACGAUGGGGAUGCGUUCCAUUAGAUAGUAGGCGGGGUAACGGCCCACCUAGUCUUCGAUGGAUAGGGGUUCUGAGAGGAAGGUCCCCCACAUUGGAACUGAGACACGGUCCAAACUCCUACGGGAGGCAGCAGUGAGGAAUAUUGGUCAAUGGGCGCAGGCCUGAACCAGCCAAGUAGCGUGAAGGAUGACUGCCCUAUGGGUUGUAAACUUCUUUUAUAAAGGAAUAAAGUCGGGUAUGUAUACCCGUUUGCAUGUACUUUAUGAAUAAGGAUCGGCUAACUCCGUG
This 490-nucleotide ribosomal RNA is filed under the name uncultured bacterium. Its description in RNAcentral is "partial 16S ribosomal RNA". It matches the Rfam family "Bacterial small subunit ribosomal RNA", at positions 28 to 507 of the family's 1533-position model. The record is from RNAcentral.